UUGUUCUUUAUAAUCCUUCAAAUAACUUCUGAUAUCUUAAAAUGUCACAAAAUAAAAGUUCAAGGAAAUUACUUUUUGAAAGUAAUUGAUUUACCAAUCAAAGCAUCUUGUACUUUUCUAGUACACUACCGCCAAAAUUCUUCCAAUUUGUUCCACUAUAAUCAAAGGAAGAUAUAGCAUAAGAUUUGAAUAAAAUCCAAAGUUUUCCCAAAAACUUUCCCAUCGAACAGCUCAACGCAACCCACUUUCCCAGUAACUGCCGUUCGCAUGAGUCAAUUCUCCUACCAUAUGGCAACCCUGGUCGCGGCACAAAUGCUGACUAACAGUCUACCCACACACACACCAGCACACAACACAAUCGCACACAUACACACAGUUUCUCAUUCUCACGAGUGCAAAUGCGAGUCGAGAGUGUAUGUGCGAUGUGCGCUGCUUGUCAGUUGGGAUUUCGUAUAGUGUGUCGGGUCGGUCGUUUUCGUUUAUAUAAAGUUGCCGCCUCUCCGCUCCGUUCGUAUCUGUAUCUCUGAUGUUGGCGCUGGCUGGCUGGCUGACUGACUGGUUGCUUGGCCGCCGCCUGACUCUCGUAGCUGUGGCUGUAUCUUUGUGCCUUGGUGGUGCCGUGCCAGGUACUUUUGGGCCUCGUUUGGUGUGCCGUGUGCGCGCUCUGUGCUAUUUUAUGCGACGCACUGCUUGGCCUGACUGACAGCAGCCAGCCAAAGCAAAAAAUUUUCUGUUGCGGCGGCGUCCGCGUUUGCGUUUUCGCCUUGAAACAUUUUGCUGUUUUCGCCGCUGCCGCUGCCGCAGCCACUGCCGGAGCUUAUCUCUUGGCCCCAAAAAAAAAAAA
Long non-coding RNA from Drosophila pseudoobscura, 844 nucleotides. RefSeq lists it as uncharacterized. The record is from RefSeq and is a predicted model, not a curated record. The transcript is spliced from 2 exons. Lineage: Eukaryota; Metazoa; Arthropoda; Insecta; Diptera; Drosophilidae.